CGAAAGCCUGACGGAGCAACGCCGCGUGGGGGAAGAAGGUUCUUGGAUUGUAAACCCCUUUUCUCAGGGAAGAAGAUCUGACGGUACCUGAGGAAUCAGCCUCGGCUAACUCCGUGCCAGCAGCCGCGGUAAUACGGAGGAGGCAAGCGUUAUCCGGAAUUAUUGGGCGUAAAGCGUCCGCAGGUGGUCUGGCAAGUCUGCUGUCAAAGACCGGGGCUUAACUCCGGAAAGGCAGUGGAAACUGCGAGACUAGAGUGCGGUAGGGGUAGAGGGAAUUCCCGGUGUAGCGGUGAAAUGCGUAGAGAUCGGGAAGAACAUCGGUGGCGAAAGCGCUCUACUGGGCCGCAACUGACACUCAGGGACGAAAGCUAGGGGAGCG
This 379-nucleotide ribosomal RNA is filed under the name uncultured cyanobacterium. RNAcentral's name for it is "bacterial SSU rRNA". It matches the Rfam family "Bacterial small subunit ribosomal RNA", at positions 376 to 770 of the family's 1533-position model. The record is from RNAcentral. Lineage: Bacteria; Bacillati; Cyanobacteriota.